GAUGAACGCUAGCUACAGGCUUAACACAUGCAAGUCGAGGGGCAGCAGGGAUUUAGCUUGCUAAAUUCGCUGGCGACCGGCGCAUGGGUGCGUAACGCGUAUCCAACUUUCCCGUUACUCUGGGAUAGCCUUCCGAAAGGGAGAUUAAUACGAGAUGGUGUUUUAAUUCGCAUGUUAUUAAAACUAAAGAUUUAUCGGUAACGGAUAGGGAUGCGUGACAUUAGAUAGUUGGCGGGGUAACGGCCCACCAAGUCCACGAUGUCUAGGGGUUCUGAGAGGAAGGUCCCCCACACUGGAACUGAGACACGGUCCAGACUCCUACGGGAGGCAGCAGUGAGGAAUAUUGGUCAAUGGCCGAGAGGCUGAACCAGCCAAGUAGCGUGAAGGAUGAAGGUUCUAUGGAUUGUAAACUUCUUUAUAUGGGAAUAACAUCACCUACGUGUAGGUGCCUGCAUGUACCGUAUGAAUAAGCAUCGGCUAACUCCGUGCCAGCAGCCG
This 498-nucleotide ribosomal RNA is filed under the name uncultured bacterium. RNAcentral describes it as "bacterial SSU rRNA". It matches the Rfam family "Bacterial small subunit ribosomal RNA", at positions 28 to 517 of the family's 1533-position model. The record is from RNAcentral.